GACGAACCGUGCGAACGUUAUUCGGAAUCACUGGGCUUAAAGCGCGUGUAGGCGGGACGGCACGUCGGUCGCUGAAAGCCCCCGGCUCAACUGGGGAGGGUCACGCGAUACUGUUCGACUCGAAGGCAGGAGAGGGAAGUGGAAUUCCCGGUGUAGUGGUGAAAUGCGUAGAUAUCGGGAGGAACACCAGUGGCGAAGGCGACUACCUGGCCUGUUCUUGACGCUGAGGCGCGAAAGCUAGGGGAGCAAACGGG
This 254-nucleotide ribosomal RNA is filed under the name uncultured bacterium. RNAcentral's name for it is "partial 16S ribosomal RNA". It matches the Rfam family "Bacterial small subunit ribosomal RNA", at positions 524 to 776 of the family's 1533-position model. The record is from RNAcentral.